UUUAUGGCUCAACUUUUUUUCACAGCUCUCCCCCCUUGCUCAUGCUGUCACAGCCUGUCAUUAGAUGUUGCUACAGUGACAGCAAACAGAAAAGGAAUCUGGUUUUUGUAAAAUGAGACUAACAUUGCCAAUCAGUAUGUCAGAUCAUUGGUUUAACUCUAUUGUAACUCCACUGCUGUACAUCACAUUCGGUGUCAGUGAAGCUAGUGAAGUUGUGCUACUCAAAAAUAACUCCCCAAAUCCGAAAACGAGAAAAUCGAAUGGAGUCAAAGUGGAAAACCUCUAUAAUGGUGAAGUGGAGUAGGUUUCAUAGUUAGAGCAGAUGCAUAACGAUGUCUUGAGAUAGCAGUUCAGACCUGAUCCACAUUUUGCAGCUGGAUGCACCUUCUGUAACGUGUCCGCUGCAAGUCAUGGGUCUGGACAUGACGGUCCUCCAGCACAGUGCCUGGCCUAGGAGCUCUCCAUGGUACCUACAGCGCCGUCUCCAGUACUGACUUCUGUGGAAGAAAGGGAUAGGAGCAGCAAUAUAAUAUUGAUAAAACAGUGCUUAAAAUUAGCUAUGCAGUUUUAAGUAACCUGCUUCAGACAAGCAUGUUUGUUUCAGACUAACACUUUCAGUAGCUGGAGAGUCUUUAUAUUAUCAGUAAAGGAAUACUUGAUUUUCUGCUGUAACUGCAGACUUUUCAGUGUAGUUACCGAUCUCCAUCUCCAUUAAAAAUCUUGGAGCCUGCUUUAACAUUAAGUUUUACCAUUCUUUUCACACCCUGACCUUUAUCCCACCUGAUACUAAGCUCACGCUGCUUACUCUUCCCUUUUAUGGCUUUGAAAAUUGAAUACAGCUGUCAAUCCAUUGGUUCAUGUUGCAGAAGCAAUGUCAGAAAUAUCUGAAUGGAGUGAAUAACCAGACGGGGGAAUGUGCUACAGCAAAAUGGAGUAUUCCACUCCCACUUAUAGGGACAACACCACAGGGCCAUCUGUCCUGACAGUUUACACAACAGCGUUUGCCUCUGACACUUGAAAUGGUAGUAGUUGGAAAAUCAUUUGGCCAUGCCCUCUGGUCUAAUUUAGCUCAGUUCCAUGAAUGCCAACUAAACUAGGCUGAAUGAGAGUUAGCAGAGAAGCUUUCUUAACAAAAUUAGCAUCUUUCUAAAAUGAAAUGAAAAGACCUAAUAAAAGCCUUGUCAUGUGUAUGAUGUACUCUCCCUUCUCACCUAUGUACAUGCUCUGACCCUCUGUGAGUACCUAGUUACUUCCACUGCUCAGGAAAGGAAGCCUGACCCUACUGUCUGAGAAACAAGAAACGAGGUCUCUUGUCCUCUUUACCAUCCCCUGUCCUCCAGCAGCAGAGAUUUCUGAAGAAGGUGACUCAGAAUUUCAGAUACUUGAACAUUUUCAUACGGAUAGAAAA
This is a long non-coding RNA of Gallus gallus (chicken), 1408 nucleotides long. NCBI's taxonomy places the organism in Eukaryota, Metazoa, Chordata, Aves, Galliformes, Phasianidae. The record is from Ensembl.